This 581-nucleotide long non-coding RNA is filed under the name Homo sapiens (human). Its description in RNAcentral is "HSALNT0274674". Lineage: Eukaryota; Metazoa; Chordata; Mammalia; Primates; Hominidae. The record is from RNAcentral.
CGUGGGUGGGCAAGAAGCUAAGGGGCUGUGAGAGCCCAGGGAGGCCUCUGCUUCUGAAUCUUGCAGAGCUUGGAGAACGCAGCAAAUUCCAGCGGGAGCCUGUGUGCACAGCCGGAGACUGUAAUGGACUUCACAGGCUCGCACUGAGCACUCAGGGGCGCAGAGAGCGGCAUUUCCCGAGCAUCUUAGAGGCCAGGCUCUGUGCUUGGCGCCAGGACGAGCUGCACUUCCAAAUCCAAACCCUGCUUGCUGCACGCGCCCAAAGCCGCCCAGGCUGGCAGCAGCUCCGGGCAAAACACGCUCUGAACACGGCCGCAGCUCGCAGACCCGGAGGCCCCGCGCACAGGACUUGGCCCAGGACGUCUGGAGCCCGCGCGACGCGCUUCCGUCAAGCCAGGGACCGGCCGCCAGGGGGAGCCAGAGGCCCAGGCAUUUCUCAGCAGGCACCGAAGUCCCAAUGGCAACUUUCACCAAUAAGUUCACUUUGCUCUUGGUUUCGUCGGACGUUUUUAUGAUGAACGUAACGCACACGUUGCGAUACGUAAAGGCCUAGAAAGUAAAAGGUCAUGACCUCUCUGCCC